GGUGGCUCAGUGUUGGAGUGCUUGCCUUGCAUGCAUGAGGCCCUGGGUUCAAUUCCUCAGCACCA
Non-coding RNA from Dipodomys ordii (Ord's kangaroo rat), 65 nucleotides. Lineage: Eukaryota; Metazoa; Chordata; Mammalia; Rodentia; Heteromyidae. The record is from Rfam.